This 482-nucleotide ribosomal RNA is filed under the name Veillonella dispar. RNAcentral describes it as "bacterial SSU rRNA". It matches the Rfam family "Bacterial small subunit ribosomal RNA", at positions 28 to 480 of the family's 1533-position model. Lineage: Bacteria; Bacillati; Bacillota; Negativicutes; Veillonellales; Veillonellaceae. The record is from RNAcentral.
GACGAACGCUGGCGGCGUGCUUAACACAUGCAAGUCGAACGAAGAGCGAUGGAAGCUUGCUUCUAUCAAUCUUAGUGGCGAACGGGUGAGUAACGCGUAAUCAACCUGCCCUUCAGAGGGGGACAACAGUUGGAAACGACUGCUAAUACCGCAUACGAUCUAAUCUCGGCAUCGAGGAUGGAUGAAAGGUGGCCUCUAUUUAUAAGCUAUCACUGAAGGAGGGGAUUGCGUCUGAUUAGCUAGUUGGAGGGGUAACGGCCCACCAAGGCGAUGAUCAGUAGCCGGUCUGAGAGGAUGAACGGCCACAUUGGGACUGAGACACGGCCCAGACUCCUACGGGAGGCAGCAGUGGGGAAUCUUCCGCAAUGGACGAAAGUCUGACGGAGCAACGCCGCGUGAGUGAUGACGGCCUUCGGGUUGUAAAGCUCUGUUAAUCGGGACGAAAGGCCUUCUUGCGAAUAGUUAGAAGGAUUGACGGACCG